GGGAACUAGGCAAAAUAGUACCGUAACUUCGGGAGAAGGUACGCCCCUAGUACGUGAAGGCCCAGCGGCCGGAGCGGACGGGGGUUGCAGUGACCAGGUGGCUGCGACUGUUUACUAAAAACACAGCACUCUGCAAACGCGUAAGCGGACGUAUAGGGUGUGACGCCUGCCCGGUGCCGGAAGGUUAAGUGAUGGGGUUAGCCGCAAGGCGAAGCUCUUAAUCGAAGCCCCGGUAAACGGCGGCCGUAACAAUAACGGUCCUAAGGUAGCGAAAUUCCUUGUCGGGUAAGUUCCGACCUGCACGAAUGGCGUAACGAUGGCCACGCUGUCUCCACCAGAGACUCAGUGAAAUUGAAAUCUCGGUUAAGAUGCCGAGUACCCGCGGCUAGACGGAAAGACCCCGUGAACCUUUACUAUAGCUUCACACGGGACUUUGAAUCGACUUGUGUAGGAUAGGUGGGAGGCUGUGAAGCCCGGACGCCAGUUCGGGUGGAGCCACCCUUGAAAUACCACCCUGGUCGAUUUGGAGUUCUAACCUCGGUCCGUGAUCCGGAUCAGGGACAGUGUGUGGUGGGUAGUUUGACUGGGGCGGUCUCCUCCCAAAGCGUAACGGAGGAGCACGAAGGUACCCUCAGCGCGGUCGGAAAUCGCGCAUUGAGUGCAAAGGCAUAAGGGUGCUUGACUGCGAGACAGACACGUCGAGCAGGUACGAAAGUAGGUCUUAGUGAUCCGGUGGUUCUGUAUGGAAGGGCCAUCGUUCAACGGAUAAAAGGUACUCCGGGGAUAACAGGCUGAUACCGCCCAAGAGUUCAUAUCGACGGCGGUGUUUGGCACCUCGAUGUCGGCUCAUCACAUCCUGGGGCUGAAGUCGGUCCCAAGGGUAUGGCUGUUCGCCAUUUAAAGUGGUACGCGAGCUGGGUUUAGAACGUCGUGAGACAGUUCGGUCCCUAUCUGCCGUGGGCGUUGGAGAUUUGCGGGAAGCUGCUCCUAGUACGAGAGGACCGGAGUGGACGUACCCCUGGUGUUCCGGUUGUCACGCCAGUGGCAUUGCCGGGUAGCUAUGUACGGACGGGAUAACCGCUGAAAGCAUCUAAGCGGGAAGCCCCUCCCAAGAUGAGAUCUCCCUGGUCCCUUGAGGUCCCUAAAGGUCCGUCACAGACUAUGACGUGGAUAGGCGGGAUGUGGAAGCGCGGUAACGCGUGCAGCUAACCCGUACUAAUUGACCGUGCGGCUUGACCCU
RNAcentral lists this ribosomal RNA (1240 nucleotides) under metagenome. RNAcentral describes it as "bacterial LSU rRNA". It matches the Rfam family "Bacterial large subunit ribosomal RNA", at positions 1708 to 2925 of the family's 2925-position model. The record is from RNAcentral.